RNAcentral lists this ribosomal RNA (407 nucleotides) under uncultured bacterium. RNAcentral describes it as "bacterial SSU rRNA". It matches the Rfam family "Bacterial small subunit ribosomal RNA", at positions 30 to 443 of the family's 1533-position model. The record is from RNAcentral.
AUUGAACGCUGGCGGAAUGCUUUACACAUGCAAGUCGAACGGUAGAGGGGGCAACCCCUUGAGAGUGGCGAACGGGUGAGUAAUAUAUCGGAACGUGCCCAGUCGUGGGGAUAACGUAGCGAAAGUUACGCUAAUACCGCAUACGAUCUAAGGAUGAAAGCGGGGGAUCGCAAGACCUCGCGCGAUUGGAGCGGCCGAUAUCAGAUUAGGUAGUUGGUGAGGUAAAGGCUCACCAAGCCAACGAUCUGUAGCUGGUCUGAGAGGACGACCAGCCACACUGGAACUGAGACACGGUCCAGACUCCUACGGGAGGCAGCAGUGGGGAAUUUUGGACAAUGGACGCAAGUCUGAUCCAGCCAUUCCGCGUGCAGGAUGAAGGCCUCGGGUUGUAAACUGCUUUUGUACGG